RNAcentral lists this ribosomal RNA (253 nucleotides) under uncultured bacterium. RNAcentral describes it as "partial 16S ribosomal RNA". It matches the Rfam family "Bacterial small subunit ribosomal RNA", at positions 524 to 776 of the family's 1533-position model. The record is from RNAcentral.
UACGUAGGGGGCAAGCGUUGUCCGGAAUCAUUGGGCGUAAAGAGCGCGUAGGCGGUCCGGUAAGUCCGCUCUGAAAGUCCGGGGCUCAACCCCGGGAGGCGGGCGGAUACUGUCGGGCUAGAGUCCGGAAGAGGCGAGUGGAAUUCCUGGUGUAGCGGUGAAAUGCGCAGAUAUCAGGAGGAACACCAAUGGCGAAGGCGACUUCCUGGCCUGUUCUUGACGCUGAGGCGCGAAAGCUAGGGGAGCAAACGGG